GGCUGCAACUCGCCUACAUGAAGUCGGAGUUGCUAGUAAUCGCGGAUCAGAAUGCCGCGGUGAAUGCGUUCCCGGGUCUUGUAUACACCGCCCGUCACACCAUGGAAGUUGGGGGCGCCCGAAGUUGGUCGAGGAAUAGAUUACCUAAGGCGAAACCAAUGACUGGGGUGAAGUCGUAACAAGGUAUC
Molecule: ribosomal RNA, 188 nt
Filed under: uncultured bacterium
Lineage: Bacteria
Description: partial 16S ribosomal RNA
Rfam family: Bacterial small subunit ribosomal RNA
Source: RNAcentral